GGAUGGGAGCUUGCUCCCGGAAGUUAGCGGCGGACGGGUGAGUAACACGUGGGCAACCUACCUGUAAGACUGGGAUAACUUCGGGAAACCGGAGCUAAUACCGGAUAACUUCUUUCUUCUCCUGGAGAAAGGUUGAAAGACGGCUUCGGCUGUCACUUACAGAUGGGCCCGCGGCGCAUUAGCUAGUUGGUGAGGUAACGGCUCACCAAGGCAACGAUGCGUAGCCGACCUGAGAGGGUGAUCGGCCACACUGGGACUGAGACACGGCCCAGACUCCUACGGGAGGCAGCAGUAGGGAAUCUUCCGCAAUGGACGAAAGUCUGACGGAGCAACGCCGCGUGAGUGAUGAAGGUUUUCGGAUCGUAAAACUCUGUUAUCAGGGAAGAACAAGUAUCGGAGUAACUGCCGGUACCUUGACGGUACCUGACCAGAAAGCCACGGCUAACUACGUGCCAGCAGCCGCGGUAAUACGUAGGUGGCAAGCGUUGUCCGGAAUUAUUGGGCGUAAAGCGCGCGCAGGCGGUUUCUUAAGUCUGAUGUGAAAGCCCACGGCUCAACCGUGGAAGGUCAUUGGAAACUGGGAGACUUGAGUGCAGAAGAGAAGAGCGGAAUUCCACGUGUAGCGGUGAAAUGCGUAGAGAUGUGGAGGAACACCAGUGGCGAAGGCGGCUCUUUGGUCUGUAACUGACGCUGAGGCGCGAAAGCGUGGGGAGCGAACAGGAUUAGAUACCCUGGUAGUCCACGCCGUAAACGAUGAGUGCUAAGUGUUAGAGGGUUUCCGCCCUUUAGUGCUGCAGUUAACGCAUUAAGCACUCCGCCUGGGGAGUACGGCCGCAAGGCUGAAACUCAAAGGAAUUGACGGGGG
RNAcentral lists this ribosomal RNA (865 nucleotides) under Lederbergia lenta. RNAcentral describes it as "bacterial SSU rRNA". It matches the Rfam family "Bacterial small subunit ribosomal RNA", at positions 70 to 919 of the family's 1533-position model. Lineage: Bacteria; Bacillati; Bacillota; Bacilli; Caryophanales; Bacillaceae. The record is from RNAcentral.